This 445-nucleotide long non-coding RNA is filed under the name Apteryx rowi (Okarito brown kiwi). Its description in RNAcentral is "lncRNA (ENSARWG00000005713.1)". Lineage: Eukaryota; Metazoa; Chordata; Aves; Apterygiformes; Apterygidae. The record is from RNAcentral.
CCUUUGAAAAUCAGAAAUGUUUACUGAGGGAAACUCUGUUACUGAAGCCCAGUGGAAUGGUGACAUCAGGAGAGACCCUGCUGUCUCUGAUCUUCAAGUGCUUUGCAAGCAUGACUUUACAGAGGUAGCAAAUCCUCUGAGGGAUGGAGUCAACUGUAAAAUGACAGAAAUGACAGUGGUCAGUGAAAGAAAUCUGGGACUUCUACACUUCAGGCAUUCAGUAAGGAAGAUGAAACAAACAGCACAGGGUGAAGUCUCAGUGAGAAGACCUUCCUGUGCCACAGAGAAGGACAGGACAUUGACAGCUUUGAGUUCUCAUGAAUUUUCAGCAGUGAGUCCAUCUGGGAAUAAUUUGUUUGUGAGAAGAAGGCUUCCAUUCUAUCAAGAAAAAAGGCUGCACGGAAUUCACAAAACACUAGAGCAGAAAGUACCAGUCAUUGUUUGA